AGCCACCGCCGUUCGUUGUCGAUGGCACUAACAGCCCCUCGCAGGCUCCCUCCAUUCAUCCCCCAGCUCCCCCACGAUCUCCCUUCCCCGUAACUCCCUCUUUCUCUCACGGGUCUCCACCACCCAGAUCUGCUGCCAAAAGCCCAUCUCUCCGCCACUCCCUUUCUUCUGUGCCGAGCACUCGACACCCGCAACCCCAACUCCUCUCUCAGCCUCUCCAAACAGCCCUUGCUCAGCAUUUUUCCCACGUAUUUGGUCUUCGUGUUGGUGUCAAUUUGGCCUUGGCCAUUGCCCAGCACAACAUUCCAAAGGUUCCAGCUCAUAUUGGAAAUCUAAUUGCUGACAAGCAGUUUUAUGCUGCAGUUCCAUGUUCUGUACUUCAAACUGCAUGUUUUGUAGCCUUUUUUUCCUAUAAUCCUACUUCUGUAAGGUCAUUGUAUCUUUUAUUUGGUUUUUUUUUUUUUGGGGGGGGGG
This is a long non-coding RNA of Juglans microcarpa x Juglans regia, 474 nucleotides long. RefSeq lists it as uncharacterized. The transcript has 3 exons. The record is from RefSeq and is a predicted model, not a curated record. NCBI's taxonomy places the organism in Eukaryota, Viridiplantae, Streptophyta, Magnoliopsida, Fagales, Juglandaceae.